Homarus americanus (American lobster) is the source of this 1469-nucleotide RNA transcript. It is a transcript of the gene named oplophorus-luciferin 2-monooxygenase non-catalytic subunit-like, with no coding region annotated. The transcript is spliced from 5 exons. NCBI's taxonomy places the organism in Eukaryota, Metazoa, Arthropoda, Malacostraca, Decapoda, Nephropidae. The record is from RefSeq and is a predicted model, not a curated record.
UUGUCACAGCAGCAAGUGUUGGUAUUCACACGACAGUUGUACCGAGUCUUGUUAGGCUGUACGCCCCACCUUCAUCACUGUAGCCUCCUGCACCAUCACUAUGAAGGGCUCCCACUUGUACUGUUUAUUGUUUACUAUUCUAGGUGUUGUGCAGUACGGUGUGGUGGCGUCAGGAAGCAAGAGCAGUGUAGAGGACCAGCAGGAUGUCUUAUGUCCAGUACCAGAGGACAUUUUCCCCUGCGUGUGUGGCGUGAACGACAACAACACUCUGGACAUUGACUGCUCAAAAGUGGUAUAUGAGGACGAGUUAGCCAACGUGUUCCGUUCUUACUUCCCCAACCCCAACUUCCGUAGAUUUACUAUCAAAUUUAACUACUACCUACAAACACUGAGGGACGGUGCCCUUGGGAACACCACCUACACUGAGUUCUUCUUCACUGAGAGCGUCCUGGAGGUAGUGGAGAAGAACGCCUUAUCCGGAAGCUUCCACACGGCCACCUACUUGAACUUCUAUUCUACUAAGUUACAAUCAUUCCCCUUUGAUGAUAUUUCCUCUUUUACAAAGCUUGUGACUCUUGAUCUCCGUUUCAACUAUUUUCAUGAAUUUCCUAAUAUAUCUUCAGUCACCCUGAAGACUCUGGCUCUGGGUGGGAAUUCCUUUGAUCACCUGCCAACUGAGGCCUUCGUCAACACUCCUUCAGUAUCCAGCAUCAAUGUUUACUUGGGGAAGCUCUGGAAUAUUUCCUCAGGUACAUUCUCCGGCCUCCCAUACCUGGAGUCAGUAGACCUCUCAUUUAACUUCUUGAAGCACAUCCCAGAGGCCGCCGUAGAAGUGACCACACCUACCUACAUCAACCUCAACUACAACAUGAUCAGCAGCGUGGAAGUCGAUGCCUUCUUAGGUGUCACAGGAGGCUCCAUAGACCUCCACUCUAACCAGCUGAAGGAGAUACAAGAAGCAGUUUGGCGGCCGCUCCUCCAGUAUAAGGUCCAACUUGAUCUCUCAAAAAACCCUCUGGAGUGUGGGUGUGAGCUGGCCUGGCUGGUGCUCAGUGACACCUUCCUCCACCAGGUGAAUGAAAACACCACCUGUGCUGACGGACGGCUGGUAGUUGACCUCGACCCCGCUGAUUACGAACCUUGUUAAGGUAAUUGAGGGUGAUGGGAGAGAGAACGAGAGAGAGACGGGUGAACAGAAAGAUAAAUUAACGUUACAAAAACGUGGUUGAUCGUCUAACAGAGACAUCUAGUGGUGGACUACGACAAUGAAACUCCCAAAGUGAGAUGAGAUCUGGCAAAGUUUCCCUACUGGCCACUUAAAUACAGAGUUGUGAGUAAAAUGUUAAAGUGCUCAAUAAAGAUCUAGAAAACUAUUAAGAGCGUGAAUCGUAAAAUACCAAAGUUUCUGUAAUGAAGGUGGAAAAGCCCGUCAAACACUCACUAUAGUAAAUAAACCUGAACUGACUGAA